CUUGAUCCGGUUUUUUUUCCAACUUCUCUACAUUUUUAAGGAGAAGUUAGGUCAAACACACUAUCAAUUAUUUUAAUUUCAAUAUUGUUUAAUCAUCGCAACCUCACAAAUAUUUUUAUUCACACUGUCUUUUAAUGAUACCAAAUACUAUUAUUUCCUUUCUUCAACCUCGCAAAUAUUUACACACACACAUUAACGUUUAGAGUAAUAUUUUAUGUCUGUCUGUCUGUGAUUUUGUUACGCUGAUGCAUAUAAUUUUUUUUAGUGUUGCUUGGUUGAGUGCUACCUCACCGAUUUUUUUU
RNAcentral lists this long non-coding RNA (302 nucleotides) under Medicago truncatula (barrel medic). Its description in RNAcentral is "long non-coding RNA (MTRU_LNC004830)". The record is from RNAcentral. Lineage: Eukaryota; Viridiplantae; Streptophyta; Magnoliopsida; Fabales; Fabaceae.